This 497-nucleotide ribosomal RNA is filed under the name uncultured bacterium. Its description in RNAcentral is "partial 16S ribosomal RNA". It matches the Rfam family "Bacterial small subunit ribosomal RNA", at positions 28 to 507 of the family's 1533-position model. The record is from RNAcentral.
GAUGAACGCUGGCGGCGUGCCUAAUACAUGCAAGUCGAGCGAACAGACGAGGAGCUUGCUCCUCUGACGUUAGCGGCGGACGGGUGAGUAACACGUGGAUAACCUACCUAUAAGACUUGGAUAACUUCGGGAAACCGGAGCUAAUACCGGAUAAUAUAUUGAACCGCAUGGUUCAAUAGUGAAAGACGGUUUUGCUGUCACUUAUAGAUGGAUCCGCGCCGCAUUAGCUAGUUGGUAAGGUAACGGCUUACCAAGGCGACGAUGCGUAGCCGACCUGAGAGGGUGAUCGGCCACACUGGAACUGAGACACGGUCCAGACUCCUACGGGAGGCAGCAGUAGGGAAUCUUCCGCAAUGGGCGAAAGCCUGACGGAGCAACGCCGCGUGAGUGAUGCAGGUCUUCGGUUCGUAAAACUCUGUUAUUAGGGAAGAACAAAUGUGUAAGUAACUAUGCACGUCUUGACGGUACCUAAUCAGAAAGCCACGGCUAACUACGUG